Molecule: transfer RNA, 76 nt
Filed under: Finegoldia magna
Lineage: Bacteria; Bacillati; Bacillota; Tissierellia; Tissierellales; Peptoniphilaceae
Also listed under: 16 other names
Description: tRNA-Arg
Rfam family: tRNA
About the family: Transfer RNA (tRNA) molecules are approximately 80 nucleotides in length. Their secondary structure includes four short double-helical elements and three loops (D, anti-codon, and T loops).
Source: RNAcentral
GCUUCCAUAAUUAAGCUGGAUAUAAUACCCCCCUCCUAAGGGGGCAUCCCCGGUUCGAAUCCGGGUGGGAGUACCA